CCCUUCUGCACCAAGCUCAGCUGCUUUUUCCUUACAGUUUUCAAGCGGUUCCCAGCCAGGCUCCACACAGGUGGUCAUCACAGCUCAAGUCAAGACAGAAAAGGUGUUUUACUAGAGAAAACACCCACAUUUUACUCAAGAUACAAGCAAGACUCACGGGACUGUUUUAUCACUUUUACACGCCGAAAUGCCUUUCCAGCCUCCACUCUUAAGAGAGUCACUGUAGAGAGGAAGAGGAGGAAUGAUUCCUUUAUGGGUUCUGAGCUUGGUGACAACCUGGUUUCUAGGCAAACACAGGCUUGUCAUGUCUCCUCUAUGGUAUGUUUAUAACACCUUUAGUUCACACUGCUGAAAUCUUUUGAGAAAAAGGUGGAAUUACAGGUCUCUGCUUAAACCCAGUGGUGAUCUGGACCCAAGUGACAAUGUCAUGAGGCCUAGGCUUUGCUUCCUAUUCACAUGUCUUCUACCAGGCUUAUCUCCUGGGCUACGGGUCAGAGGCUUCCUUUCCUAGAAUGCUGUUAUUAGAGAGCUCUCUGAACCAGGGUGGAGUCUACCCUGGUUUCACAAUGUCAUUGUAUUAUCUGGUAGAGAAGGCUUUCCAUAUGUGUAUGGAGUCUCCAGUAAUAAUUCUCAAAGUAGAACCUGUUGUUCUGUCUCUCAUUUUAUUAACAUUUGGAAGAUGAUGAACCCCAUUUUUAUUUCUGGCACAGACUUGAGGUUUCCUUAAGAGCUCCCUCCUGAGAACACAGUGACCAGUGGAAGUGGCCCUGAGUGGAAGAGCCAAGUGGGAACAAGUGAGCAAACAGUCCCCAGCACUAGCACAAAGUGGCCAGAAAGGAUCCACGACGUGUCCCUGCAAUCAGAGAAGAGUACUUUCAUCUCCUCUUUCAACAUAACAAGAACGUAUAAAACCAUUCUGACUGCCAAAGAUGCUGAGUAAUAUAAAAGUUGUACCAUUUUUUAAAGAUGAUUUAAUAAAAGUGCUAAGAGAACCAGACUAAGAACCAGUGCUAAGAGCUGUUGUC
Long non-coding RNA from Phyllostomus discolor (pale spear-nosed bat), 1025 nucleotides. RefSeq lists it as uncharacterized. NCBI's taxonomy places the organism in Eukaryota, Metazoa, Chordata, Mammalia, Chiroptera, Phyllostomidae. The record is from RefSeq and is a predicted model, not a curated record. The transcript has 3 exons.